Molecule: ribosomal RNA, 401 nt
Filed under: Coconut lethal yellowing phytoplasma
Lineage: Bacteria; Bacillati; Mycoplasmatota; Mollicutes; Acholeplasmatales; Acholeplasmataceae
Description: bacterial SSU rRNA
Rfam family: Bacterial small subunit ribosomal RNA
Source: RNAcentral
AGUACUCCGCCUGAGUAGUACGUACGCAAGUAUGAAACUUAAAGGAAUUGACGGGAUCCCGCACAAGCGGUGGAUCAUGUUGUUUAAUUCGAAGAUACACGAAAAACCUUACCAGGUCUUGACAUAUUCUGCGAAGCUAUAGAAAUAUAGUAGAGGUUACCAGAAAUACAGGUGGUGCAUGGUUGUCGUCAGCUCGUGUCGUGAGAUGUUAGGUUAAGUUCUAAAACGAGCGCAACCCUUAUCGUUAGUUACCAGCAUGUUAUGAUGGGGACUUUAGCGAGACUGCCAAUGAAAAAUUGGAGGAAGGUGAGGAUUACGUCAAAUCAUCAUGCCCCUUAUGAUCUGGGCUACAAACGUGAUACAAUGGCUAUUACAAAGAGUAGCUGAAACGCGAGUUUUUA